GGGGUUAUUGCUCAGUGGUAGAGCACAUGCUUGGUAUGCAUGAGGUCCUCGGUUCAAUCCCCAGUGCCUUCA
RNAcentral lists this transfer RNA (72 nucleotides) under Camelus bactrianus (Bactrian camel). It matches the Rfam family "tRNA". Rfam says of the family: Transfer RNA (tRNA) molecules are approximately 80 nucleotides in length. Their secondary structure includes four short double-helical elements and three loops (D, anti-codon, and T loops). The record is from Rfam by way of RNAcentral. Lineage: Eukaryota; Metazoa; Chordata; Mammalia; Artiodactyla; Camelidae. RNAcentral also lists the same sequence under 2 other names.